UUUGCACAGACAAGUGGAGAAAGAGUCCCAC
RNAcentral lists this non-coding RNA (31 nucleotides) under Homo sapiens (human). The record is from RNAcentral. Lineage: Eukaryota; Metazoa; Chordata; Mammalia; Primates; Hominidae.